This 3345-nucleotide long non-coding RNA is filed under the name Octopus vulgaris (common octopus). The record is from RNAcentral. Lineage: Eukaryota; Metazoa; Mollusca; Cephalopoda; Octopoda; Octopodidae.
AUAUAUAUAUAUAUAUAUAUAUAUAUAUAUAUAUAUAUGUUGCCUUUGUGUAAGAUAUAAUUCCAUUGGUGGUUUACUGUUAUUUUUUGUCAGAAUUCUGUAACCUUUUGUAUGUCCCUACUUUCAUAAUGUAAAAUGGCUAAAAAAAAAAAAAAAAUUGGAAAUAUAUAUAUUUAUCUGUUACCUUCCCAUAAGUUACAACUACAUUGGCAAUUUAUUUUUGUUAUUCUUUUGUUGUUCAUCUUUGGCCCAGCCUCUAAACUAUUAAAGUGAUGAGAGGCUGAUAUACCACCCUAAGGUGCUAGUCUAUUGCAUUUAUGUCACACACAUCCUUCAAUAAUGCGACCUGUCGGACUUUCAACUAUCUACUCACCUCUCAAUAAGAGACGAGUUUACUUGAUGCUAUUUUACCCAUCAUUCAACGUGUCAAAUCAGUGUACUUGCAUAUACAUAUAUACGCAAUACACACACACACACACACACACACAUACACACUGCUUUUACAAUGAAAUGCUUCACUGUGUCUUUAAAGUUUUGACGUUGUCACCUUUGUGAUGAAAGCAAUUAACCAAAAACUUCAAAGUCACUGUCUACGCUUUUCUUCUUAAAAAUCCAAACAUAUAUGAUACUCUACAUCUAAUAACUAAGUGAUCCUUCAAAUAAUAUCUGACAAUAACUAAAAACAUUAAUACACACGUGUGUGUAUAUAUAUAUGUAUGUAUGUACAUAUGUGACCACGUAACAGACCAGACCAUCAGAUGGUGUUACACAUCGCUGGUCACAAUGCGUUCGCAUUGUUUUAGCCUUCGAAUGACGCCACCCCGCUGGCUAAGCGGAGUGGUGAAAGAGUACAGCAGGGAUCACCACCCCCUGCCAGAGCCUCAUGGAGCUUUUAGGUAUUUUCGCUCACUAAACACUCACAACGCCCAGUCUGGGAAUCGAAACCGCGAUCCUACGACCACUGCCCUAACCACUGGGCCAUUGCGCCUCCACAUGUAUGUAUAUGUAUGUAUGUAUAUAUAUAUAUGUAUGUAUAUGUAUGUAUGUAUGUAUAUAUAUAUAUCAUCAUCAUCAUCAACAUCAUAUAUAUAUAUAUAUAUAUAUCAAGGAAAAGGAGGAUUUGUUCAUUUCACUGAACUCUUCAAAAAAAUUGAACCAAAAUAAUAAAAACAAAACAUUUCAUCAUUUUACUAUUUUGGUUCCAUUUUUUUUUUUUUUUGAAGAGUGAGUUAAAUGAAUGAAAGCACUAAUAAAGAAUUAUCCAAAAUUCUGACUGGAAUGGAAACCACAACCUUAUGAUCAUGAUGCUGACACUCUGACCACUGAGUCACGCGCCUCCACAAGUAUAUAUAUAUAUAUAUAUAUAUAUAUAUAUAUACACAUAUACAUAUACGUACAUACAUACAUAAAUACAUACAUACCUGAAUAAAUACAUACGUAUAUGCGCAAUACACACACACACACACACACAUACACACACACACAAAUACAUACACACAUAUAUGUAUCAAGCGCUUCAAGGUGUCAGGAUAACGACGGGUAUGUGUGCUCACCAGAUAUCACUUUAUAAAGGGAGACAACUAUCGAGCUGUAGGUUAAUAGUUUACGUUAAUCUCUCUUGAGAUGCAUGAGAUGCAUGCUUUAUGAGGAUUUCUGCUGUAAAUCCAUGGAAGGAUUAUUUCAACUAAUGCACAAAGUUCCUCUUAGUGGAGGAACGAUGGUCAUAAAGUAUGUACAAGUAAUACACAAUGACUAGUAUCUUUUCUUCGGUGAGGUUUUAAGAAAGGAAAAUGGAUCAUGCGCCAAGAUGAAAAUAUAUUUAAAAAAACAUCAUUAUAAUUUAUUCAAAAAUUUUCCGGUGUUAUUGGUGUUGCUGUUGUUGUUGUUGUUGUUGUUAUUGUCAUUGCUUUACAGUUGUUAUUGUUGAUGAUGAUGGUGACAAUAUCUACCAUUGUUAUUUAUUAUUAUUAUUAUUAUUAUUAUUAUUAUUAUUAUUAUUAUUAUUAUUAUUAUCAUUAUUAUUCAUUUUUCCUAAGGUGGCAAGCUUGCAGAAUCGUUAGCAUGCUGGACGAAAUGCUUCGCGGUAUUUCGCCAGCCCUCUACGUUCUGAGUUCAAAUUCUGCUGAGGUCAACUUUGCCUUUCAUCCUUUCGGGGUCGAUAAAUUGAGUACCAGUGAAACACUGGUGUCGAUAUAAUCGACUAACCCUCUCCCCAUCAAAUUUCAGGCCUUGUGCCUAUAAUAGAAAUUAUUAUUAUUAUUAUUAUUAUUAUUAUUAUUAUUAUUAAUUUUCUUAAGGUUGUGAGCUGGCAGAAUGGUUAACAUGCCAGACAAAAUGCUUUGUAGUAUUAUGUCUGUCUUAUCAUUUUGAGUUCAAAUUCCGCCGAGGUCGACUUUGCCUUUUAUCGUUUCAGAGUUGAUAAAAUAAGUACCAGACAAGCACUGGGGUCGAUCUAAUUGACUAGCUCCCUCCCACCAAAAUUUCAGACCUUGAGCCUUUAGUAGAAAGGAUCAUCAUCAUCAUCAUCACUAUUAUUAUUAUUAUUAUUAUCAUUAACAUUCAGACAGCGAGCUGGUAGAAUCAUCGACACAUAAGGCAAAAUGCUUAGUAGCAUUUCAUCCAUCUUCAGAUUCUGAGUUCAAAAUCUGCUGAGGUUGACUUUGCCUUUCAUCCCUUCAGGGUCGAUAAAAUAAGUACCAGUUUAACACUGCAAUUGACUUAUCCCUUCCCUUGAAAUUGCUGGCCUUGUGCCAAAAUUUGAAACCAUUAUUAUUAUCAUCAUUCUUGCCAUUGGUAUGUAUGUUUCCUUGUAUUUCUUUCCAAAUUUGUUUUAAAAUUUGCAUCAAGUCGCACAGAAUUUAAAAAAAAAUAUAUAUCUGAAAACAAGGUAAAAAAUUUUUCAAAUAAUUUUUUUUUAAGAAUUUAAAUCUAAAACAGAAAAAUAUAAUGUUGUUCAAAAAUUUAAUUAAAAUUUCAAAAACUGUAUACAAAGAACAGAGAAAGAAAAAUACACAAUCGAAAUGGUAAAAAGGCAGAAUAUCUUCGCCAAGUUUUGGGUCUAAUCGUCAGUGUCACAGUUACCUUUUACACCCGUCAACUUUUAAAGUCGCACACAUCGCACAUUUUUGGCAAUUCUGUCUUCCAGAGAAUGGAGACAUCAUUCAUUCUUAACACUGUUUUAUUCUACACCCAGUUUCUGUCUCAAAAAAUAAUUUCUCACGUGCAUUUUUAACAUCUAAUAUACAUAACCAUACAUAGACAUACAUGCAUGUAGAUAUAUAUAUAUAUACAUAUAUAUAUUAUAUUGAGGGUACUACUAUUCGUAGAUACCACACGCUAAGAGGG